GACGAACGCUGGCGGCGUGCUUAACACAUGCAAGUCGAACGGAAAGGCCCUGCUUUUGUGGGGUGCUCGAGUGGCGAACGGGUGAGUAACACGUGAGUAACCUGCCCUUGACUUUGGGAUAACUUCAGGAAACUGGGGCUAAUACCGGAUAGGAGCUCCUGCUGCAUGGUGGGGGUUGGAAAGUUUCGGCGGUUGGGGAUGGACUCGCGGCUUAUCAGCUUGUUGGUGGGGUAGUGGCUUACCAAGGCUUUGACGGGUAGCCGGCCGGAGAGGGUGACCGGCCAAAUUGGGAUUGAGAUACGGCCCAGCCUCCUCCGGGAGGCAGCAGUGGGGAAUAUUGCACAAUGGGAGGAAGCAUGAUGCAGCAAAGCCGCGUGCGGGAUGACGGCCUUCGGGUUGUAAACCGCUUUCGCCUGUGACGAAGCGUGAGUGACGGUAAUGGGUAAAGAAGCACCGGCUAACUACGUG
RNAcentral lists this ribosomal RNA (468 nucleotides) under uncultured bacterium. RNAcentral's name for it is "partial 16S ribosomal RNA". It matches the Rfam family "Bacterial small subunit ribosomal RNA", at positions 28 to 507 of the family's 1533-position model. The record is from RNAcentral.